GAGUUUGAUCCUGGCUCAGAGCGAACGCUGGCGGCAGGCCUAACACAUGCAAGUCGAGCGCCCCGCAAGGGGAGCGGCAGACGGGAGAGUAAUACGUGGGAACGUACCCUUUAGUUCGGAACAACCCAGGGAAACUUGGGCUAAUACCGGAUACGUCCGAAAGGAGAAAGAUUUAUCGCUGAAGGAUCGGCCCACGUCUGAUUAGCUAGUUGGUGAGGUAACGGCUCACCAAGGCGACGAUCAGUAGCUGGUCUGAGAGGAUGAUCAGUCACACUGGGACUGAGACACGGCCCAGACACCUACGGGUGGCAGCAGUCGAGAAUUUUUCUCAAUGGGGGAAACCCUGAAGGAGCGACGCCGCGUGGAGGAUGAAGGUCUUCGGGUUGUAAACUCCUGUCAUUUGGGAACAAGUGCCGGUACGUAACUGCUACCGGCUUGAUAGUACCAGAAGAGGAAGAGACGGCUAACUCUGUGCCAGCAGCCGCGGUAAUACAGAGGUCUCAAGCGUUGUUCGGAUUCAUUGGGCGUAAAGGGUGUGUAGGUGGCGCCGUAAGUCGGGUGUGAAAUUUUAGAGCUUAACUCUGAAACUGCAUUCGAUACUGCGGUGCUUGAGGACUGGAGAGGAGACUGGAAUUUACGGUGUAGCAGUGAAAUGCGUAGAUAUCGUAAGGAAGACCAGUGGCGAAGGCGGGUCUCUGGACAGUUCCUGACACUGAGACACGAAGGCCAGGGGAGCAAACGGGAUUAGAUACCCCGGUAGUCCUGGCAGUAAACGGUGCACGUUUGGUGUGGGAGGAUUCGACCCCUUCUGCGCCGGAGUUAACACGUUAAACGUGCCGCCUGGGGAGUACGGUCGCAAGAUUAAAACUCAAAGAAAUUGACGGGGGCCCGCACAAGCGGUGGAGUAUGUGGCUCAAUUCGAUGCAACGCGAAGAACCUUACCAGGCCUUGACAUGCAUCUCUAAGCUGGUGAAAGCCAGUGAGUCCCGAAAGGGACAAUUUGCACAGGUGCUGCAUGGCUGUCGUCAGCUCGUGUCGUGAGAUGUUGGGUUAAGUCCCGCAACGAGCGCAACCCUUGUGAACUGUUGCCACCGAGCCGAGAGGCUCGGGCACUCUGUUCAGACUGCCUCGCUUAAACGAGGAGGAAGGUGAGGACGACGUCAAGUCAGUAUGGCCCUUACGGCCUGGGCUGCACACGUACUACAAUGCCCAGUACAGAACGAUCCAAGACCGCGAGGUGGAGGAAAUCACCAAAACUGGGCCCAGUUCAGAUUGAAGUCUGCAACUCGACUUCAUGAAGCCGGAAUCGCUAGUAAUGGCGCAUCAGCUACGGCGCCGUGAAUACGUUCCCGGGCCUUGUACACAC
RNAcentral lists this ribosomal RNA (1366 nucleotides) under uncultured bacterium. Its description in RNAcentral is "bacterial SSU rRNA". It matches the Rfam family "Bacterial small subunit ribosomal RNA". The record is from RNAcentral.